UGCGUAGGUGGCCGGGUAAGUCUGAUGUGAAAUCUCCGACCUUAACUCGGAAAUGGCAUUGGAUACUACUUGGCUUGAGGAUUGGAGGGGGGACUGGAAUACUUGGUGUAGCAGUGAAAUGCGUAGAUAUCAAGUGGAACACCAGUGGCGAAGGCGAGUCCCUGGACAAUUCCUGACACUGAGGCACGAAAGCUGGGAGCAAACA
RNAcentral lists this ribosomal RNA (205 nucleotides) under uncultured bacterium. RNAcentral's name for it is "partial 16S ribosomal RNA". It matches the Rfam family "Bacterial small subunit ribosomal RNA", at positions 568 to 774 of the family's 1533-position model. The record is from RNAcentral.